Molecule: long non-coding RNA, 855 nt
Organism: Dromiciops gliroides (monito del monte)
Lineage: Eukaryota; Metazoa; Chordata; Mammalia; Microbiotheria; Microbiotheriidae
Exons: 4
Source: RefSeq, a predicted model, not a curated record
CUCUCCCUCCCCCCCAAAUAUCCUGAACCUAAUUGUAUCCGAGCCUCGCUCCUCACAGCCAGCUCUUGGAGGGCAAACGGUGUUUCUUCUUGUUGUUGUUGUUGUUGUUAUUGUUGUCGUAGGCGCCGUCGUUGCUGUUGUUACCGCUGUGGGUGCCUAUAAGAACAGAGCCGGAACUUCACUGCUUGUUGAGAGCAGGAAAAUUGGAGGCGGGAGCUAUCACUUUCAGUUGGGGGGUAAGCAGACAGAAUCGGAGAUGCCUUUGAGAGAGAGGUUAAACUCGAACUGAGCUGGGAAGGAAGCGCAGCUUUCAACAGGCAGAGGCUGCAAGGGACCUCGGAGCCCCUCGUCGUCUCGCGGCUGCGGCGGCGGGGACCCCCUGAGAGCCGGGGAGGAGAAGCCGGGAUAGACGCCAGCUUGAGGUCGCCCGGGGAGCCGGUGCCCACUGAUCUCCGGGAGAACCUGGAGCCCAACUGAAACGCUCGUGGGCUAAGUGAGGAGGACACAGAACGAGGGGUCGUCGCUCGCUCGCCCUUUCCCCAGCGUGCAGAGCUGAGGCGGUCGAACAGCGGGGCAUCAACAGACCCUAGAUGAAAACGGACGUGGAAAAGGCCUCCUCUGGCAUCUGACCGUCACCGGCCGCAUCACGCUCCAUCGGACAAAAACUCAGAAGAGUCACGUGAGACGAGGAAGAGUUGGGAACCAUGUCUCUGUCCCAGGAAGUCGCUAAUUCCACUCAUCUCCCAGGAGAUCCAGGCAACAGCAGUUAUGACAGCGGCCACGGCUGCAUCAGCAGCGGCAACGGCAGCGGCGGCGGCGACAGCAGCGGCGGCGGCGGCGGCGGCGGCGGCGGCA